UACGGGGGGGGCAAGCGUUGUUCGGAAUUACUGGGCGUAAAGGGCUCGUAGGCGGCCAACUAAGUCGGAUGUGAAAUCCCCAGGCUUAACCUGGGAACUGCAUCCGAUACUGGAUGGCUUGAAUUCGGGAGAGGGAUGCAGAAUUCUUGGUGUAGCGGUGAAAUGCGUAGAUAUCAAGAGGAAUACCUGAGGUGAAGACGGGUUGCUAGGCCGACACUGACGCUGAGGCGCGAAAGCCAGGGGAGCAAACGGG
This 253-nucleotide ribosomal RNA is filed under the name uncultured bacterium. RNAcentral describes it as "partial 16S ribosomal RNA". It matches the Rfam family "Bacterial small subunit ribosomal RNA", at positions 524 to 776 of the family's 1533-position model. The record is from RNAcentral.